UACGAAGGGUGCAAGCGUUACUCGGAAUUACUGGGCGUAAAGCGUGCGUAGGUGGUGAGUUAAGUCUGUCGUGAAAGCCCCGGGCUCAACCUGGGAAUGGCGAUGGAUACUGGCUCGCUAGAGUGCGGUAGAGGAGAGUGGAAUUCCCGGUGUAGCAGUGAAAUGCGCAGAUAUCAGGAGGAACACCGGUGGCGAAGGCGGCACUCUGGGCCGGUACUGACGCUGAGGAGCGAAAGCGUGGGGAGCGAACAGG
RNAcentral lists this ribosomal RNA (253 nucleotides) under uncultured bacterium. Its description in RNAcentral is "partial 16S ribosomal RNA". It matches the Rfam family "Bacterial small subunit ribosomal RNA", at positions 524 to 776 of the family's 1533-position model. The record is from RNAcentral.